GAAGGAGUUCUGGACCUGCUUCAUGUCCAUCAGGAGCUUCAACGGUGCUGGUUGGGCAACAAAGGAUGUCGGUCAGUGAAAGUGAGUGAGGGACCAGCAGAGAAGGGCCUGAGUUUGCUAGUACAGCAGGUAUUAGGAAAACCACUGAACAAAACCGAGCAACUCUCCAACUGGGAACGCCGACCACUCCGGACCAGCCAACUCCGCUAUGCAGCCACUGAUGCAUACUGCCUGCUAGACAUCUACCUUGUCCUCUCCCGGGACCCUAAGGCAUUUGGUUUGCCAGAGGACCUCCGUUCCAUUCCCUCAGCCCGACC
This is a long non-coding RNA of Sinocyclocheilus rhinocerous, 317 nucleotides long. RefSeq lists it as uncharacterized. The record is from RefSeq and is a predicted model, not a curated record. The transcript has 3 exons. NCBI's taxonomy places the organism in Eukaryota, Metazoa, Chordata, Actinopteri, Cypriniformes, Cyprinidae.